UACGGCUAAUUGUACUGUAUUCCAUCCAGCUUCACAACUUUCACGCGUUCUGUGUGAGCGCAUGCAAGGCGGAAAUGUCGAACUUUUUUUGUCUGUCAUCCCCUAAUGGGAGUAUAUCUAUUUGGAGCGGAUAGCGGAUCGCGGGUAAAAGAGCGGGUCGCGCGUAAUUAAAAAAGGAGCGGAUAAUUUCUCGAGGAGCUAUG
Molecule: non-coding RNA, 203 nt
Organism: Paramuricea clavata
Lineage: Eukaryota; Metazoa; Cnidaria; Anthozoa; Malacalcyonacea; Plexauridae
Source: the annotation of a GenBank genome assembly